Molecule: long non-coding RNA, 208 nt
Filed under: Elaeis guineensis (African oil palm)
Lineage: Eukaryota; Viridiplantae; Streptophyta; Magnoliopsida; Arecales; Arecaceae
Description: long non-coding RNA (EGUI_LNC072269)
Source: RNAcentral
CCAACAUCAUGGAUGUGUUCCUAUAUCGAUAUCUUGAAACGAUUCUAAAUAAUCAAUCAAUAGAAGCUGAGUACACUGUAGAUGUAUAGGAUGCAUUCUAGUUGUAAUGUUAGUUGCAGAAUCAGUUAUCAUAUUAUCAGAUAUUAUGACACUAUACUGCAAAGAUAAUGGCACCAUAGCCCUUGUUAAGGAGCCUAGAUCUCACCAG